RNAcentral lists this non-coding RNA (98 nucleotides) under Flavobacteriales bacterium. Its description in RNAcentral is "TPP sequence". It matches the Rfam family "TPP riboswitch aptamer (THI element)". From Rfam's summary of the family: Vitamin B(1) in its active form thiamin pyrophosphate (TPP) is an essential coenzyme that is synthesised by coupling of pyrimidine and thiazole moieties in bacteria. The previously detected thiamin-regulatory element, thi box was extended, resulting in a new, highly conserved RNA secondary structure, the THI element, which is widely distributed in eubacteria and also occurs in some archaea. The record is from RNAcentral. Lineage: Bacteria; Pseudomonadati; Bacteroidota; Flavobacteriia; Flavobacteriales.
GUGAAACUUUAGGGGUGUCCACCAAUUGGCAGACUGAGAUUAUACCCUCAAUACCUGAUGCAGAUAACGCUGCCGUAGGAAAAAGAAACUUCUCUCUU